RNAcentral lists this ribosomal RNA (755 nucleotides) under crenarchaeote enrichment culture clone B13-A-157. RNAcentral describes it as "bacterial SSU rRNA". It matches the Rfam family "Archaeal small subunit ribosomal RNA", at positions 102 to 859 of the family's 1478-position model. The record is from RNAcentral. Lineage: Archaea; Thermoproteati; Thermoproteota.
AGUCAACCUAACUCGUGGACGUGGAUAACCUCGGGAAACUGAGAAUAAACCACGAUAGAUCAUAGUGCCUGGAAUGGCUUAUGGUCCAAACAGUUUACUGCCAUGGGAUGGGACUGCGGCCUAUCAGCUUGUCGGUGAGGUAAUGGCCCACCAAGGCGAUUACAGGUACGGGCUCUGAGAGGAGAAGCCCGGAGAUGGGUACUGAGACACGGACCCAGGCCCUAUGGGGCGCAGCAGGCGAGAAACCUUAGCAAUGUGCGAAAGCACGACUGGGUCAGUCCGAGUGAUUCCUGAUAAAGGAGUCUCUUGCUUGUCCUAAAAGCACAGGUGAAUAAGGGGUGGGCAAGUCUGGUGUCAGCCGCCGCGGUAAUACCAGCACCUCGAGUGGUCAGGACGUUUAUUGGGCCUAAAGCAUCCGUAGCCGGCUCUGCAAGUCUUCGGUCAAAUCCACCUGCUCAACAGAUGGGCUGCUGGAGAUACUACAGAGCUAGGGAGUGGGAGAGGCAGACGGUAUUCAGUGGGUAGGGGUAAAAUCCUCUGAUCCAUUGAGGACCACCAGUGGCGAAGGCGGUCUGCCAGAACACGUUCGACGGUGAGGGAUGAAAGCUGGGGGAGCAAACCGGAUUAGAUACCCGGGUAGUCCCAGCUGUAAACGAUGCAAACUCGGUGAUGCAUUGGCUUAUGGCCAAUGCAGUGCCGCAGGGAAGCCGUUAAGUUUGCCGCCUGGGAAGUACGGACGCAAGUCUGAAACUUAA